This 1342-nucleotide long non-coding RNA is filed under the name Nicotiana benthamiana. RNAcentral's name for it is "long non-coding RNA (NBEN_LNC020421)". The record is from RNAcentral. Lineage: Eukaryota; Viridiplantae; Streptophyta; Magnoliopsida; Solanales; Solanaceae.
AUGCGCCGAGGGUCGAUUGGAAACAGCCUCUCUGCCCUUUCGGGUAGGGGUAAGGCUCGUCUACAUAUUACCCUCCCCAGACCCCACUUGGUGGAAGUAUACUGGGUAGUUGUUGUUGUUGUAUAAAUGAAAAAGAAGUAGAAACAAUACUUGAUAAGACAUGCUUGACAUGUUAUUGAUCAAUCAGUAACUGGUGGAAAAAUGAAGCUUAAAGUAACAAUUUGUCAUGUAAGCUACUUGCUUCUAGGUCAAAGCAUACAGAGAUGCCAAAUGACAUUCAAUGUAAUAAUUUUCCCGGGUAUAAUCACCCUACAUAUUGCCCGUACCAAUGAACAACACAACAGAAAAAUACAUCUAACAAAUAGAUUUUUUUGUUUACUGUGAACUAUUUUUACAUAAAACAUACAAUUAGAACGUAAGGAAAAUCAUAUUUGGUGAAAAAAUUGACAAAUGCAUGUUUAAGUCAAAGAAAACCCACUUUAAAUAUCAAAGUCUUAAGUUUUUCUUAAAAUGAAAAACGACACUUUAUUCUUCCUACUACAACUGGAAUUAGUUUAAUCACGAAUUUUUUUAUGAACUUCACCAGUUACCGGUAAACUCUCAAUUAACAUAAACUCAGACUUUCCUAAUAUAUUUCAUUGACAAAGGUGUCCAGGUAAUAAAAGCACCUUAAUAUCUCAAUGAAUCAUUCCCAUACUGUGUAUGUAUUCAAGAGCAUGUGCAACUUCAGCUGCAUAAAGACGCACGAACCAAAAAGUCUAUUGACAUUGGGACCCGAUAGGAGUGACUAAAUUAUAUCCACCACUUCUAGCUCUGAGACAUUUUAUGGCACGGACUUGACUUUACUUGAACAGAACGAAAAUUCACCAUGCGCCUAAAAAUAUUAGUUAAUGACAAGGACCACUAUCCUUAGAAGCCAUUUCACCCAAAAAUUGCUAACAACAAAAAUAAAUAUUUAUUCUGAUACAUGCACUGACUAUCUAUUCCGAAAAAAUCGAAGCAAAAGAGAUACCAAUUAAAUGUUGACCUGCAUGUAAGAAAUUCAACAAAAAUUCAAAAUUAUGAAGAAAACCAAAUCAGAUCUAUCAAAUUCCAAUCCGAUCACCAGGAAAUGGGUGCAACAAAGAAUGGAAGAGAAUGAAGUAAAAUUCACCAAGUCGCAAGUAUAGCAGUGUAAGAUCCGACGUCAUAAAAAACCACAUACCCAUCAACAAAAGAAUUUCACAAAUUGAAAGAUCGAAGAGCAGAGAAAAACUUAGAAGAAAGUUGAGAUACUCACAGACAGAGAUGGGUCUUUGAAGCAGCGAACGAGGGAAAAGUUGUCAACACUGAAAUUGAGCAG